This 293-nucleotide ribosomal RNA is filed under the name uncultured bacterium. Its description in RNAcentral is "partial 16S ribosomal RNA". The record is from RNAcentral.
GGACUACCGGGGUUUCUAAUCCUGUUUGCUCCCCACGCUGUCGCGCCUCAGUGUCAGCAACUGCCCAGCAGGCCGCCUUCGCCACCGGUGUUCUUCCGGAUCUCUACGCAUUCCACCGCUACACCCGGAAUUCCGCCUGCCUCUACAGUGCUCCAGCCGCGGCAGUAUUCAUGGCCGACGCAGGGUUGAGCCCCGCGCUUUCACCACGAACUGACCGGGCCACCUACGCGCCCUUUACGCCCAAUGAUUCCGGACAACGCUCGCACCCUCCGUAUUACCGCGGCUGCUGGCAC